GACGAACGCUAGCUACAGGCUUAACACAUGCAAGUCGAGGGACCGGCGCACGGGUGAGUAACACGUAUCCAACCUGCCCUUUACUCGGGGAUAGCCUUUCGAAAGAAAGAUUAAUACCCGAUAUAAAGGAUGGGGAUGCGUUCCAUUAGGUUGUUGGUGAGGUACAGGCACACCAAGCCUUCGGUGGAUAGGGGUUCUGAUGGGAAGGCCCCCCACAUUGUAACUGAGGCACGUUCCAGACUCCUACGGGGGGCAGCAGUGAGGCAUAUUGGUCACUGGGCGGUAGCCUGACCCAGCCAAGUAGAGUGAAGGGUGUAGGCUUAUUGGUCGUAAACUUCUUUUAUAUAAGAAUAUGUAUUAUAUGAAUAAGGAUCGGCUAACUCCGUGCCAGCAGCCGCGGUAAUAC
Molecule: ribosomal RNA, 406 nt
Filed under: uncultured bacterium
Lineage: Bacteria
Description: partial 16S ribosomal RNA
Rfam family: Bacterial small subunit ribosomal RNA
Source: RNAcentral